GAUGAACUCUGGCGGCGUGCCUAAUACAUGCAAGUCGAGCGAACGGACGAGAAGCUUGCUUUUCUGAUGUUAGCGGCGGACGGGUGAGUAACACGUGGAUAACCUACCUAUAAGACUGGGAUAACUUCGGGAAACCGGAGCUAAUACCGGAUAAUAUUUUGAACCGCAUGGUUCAAAAGUGAAAGACGGUCUUGCUGUCACUUAUAGAUGGAUCCGCGCUGCAUUAGCUAGUUGGUAAGGUAACGGCUUACCAAGGCAACGAUGCAUAGCCGACCUGAGGGGGUGAUCGGCCACACUGGAACUGAGACACGGUCCAGACUCCUACGGGAGGCAGCAGUAGGGAAUCUUCCGCAAUGGGCGAAAGCCUGACGGAGCAACGCCGCGUGAGUGAUGAAGGUCUUCGGAUCGUAAAACUCUGUUAUUAGGGAAGAACAUAUGUGUAAGUAACUGUGCACAUCUUGACGGUACCUAAUCAGAAAGCCACGGCUAACUACGUG
Molecule: ribosomal RNA, 497 nt
Filed under: uncultured bacterium
Lineage: Bacteria
Description: partial 16S ribosomal RNA
Rfam family: Bacterial small subunit ribosomal RNA
Source: RNAcentral